CAUGUUGUCUUCAGUUCCACUGCUUCUUCUGGCCAUAAUUCCAUAUGUGUUCUGUGCUACUGAGCUCAUCCAGCCAGACUCAGUGCUUCUAAAGCCUGGAGAGACUUUAUCCAUCACCUGUAGAGUGUCUGGAGCUUCUAUCACUGAUAGCAGCAACCACUAUGCAACAGCUUGGAUCCGACAACCUGCAGGAAAAGCUCUAGAAUGGAUCAAUUUGAUUUACUAUGAUGGGGAUAUUCUACAGAAGGAUUCACUUAAAGUAAAAUUUGUAAUCACUCGAGACACUUCCAGUAACAGUGUGACCUUACAGGGAAAGAACAUGCAGGCUGAAGACACAGCUGUGUAUUACUGCGCCCGACACCGUGAUACUUCUCCUUAA
This is a non-coding RNA of Silurus meridionalis, 379 nucleotides long. NCBI's taxonomy places the organism in Eukaryota, Metazoa, Chordata, Actinopteri, Siluriformes, Siluridae. The record is from the annotation of a RefSeq genome assembly.